AACGAACGCUGGCGGCAUGCCUAACACAUGCAAGUCGAACGAAGGCUUCGGCCUUAGUGGCGCACGGGUGCGUAACGCGUGGGAAUCUGCCCUUUGGUUCGGAAUAACAGCUGGAAACGGCUGCUAAUACCGGAUGAUGACGAAAGUCCAAAGAUUUAUCGCCAGAGGAUGAGCCCGCGUUGGAUUAGGUAGUUGGUGGGGUAAAGGCCUACCAAGCCGACGAUCCAUAGCUGGUCUGAGAGGAUGAUCAGCCACACUGGGACUGAGACACGGCCCAGACUCCUACGGGAGGCAGCAGUGGGGAAUAUUGGACAAUGGGCGCAAGCCUGAUCCGGCAAUGCCGCGUGAGUGAUGAAGGCCCUAGGGUUGUAAAGCUCUUUUACCCGGGAAGAUAAUGACUGUACCGGGAGAAUAAGCCCCGGCUAACUCCGUG
Molecule: ribosomal RNA, 433 nt
Filed under: uncultured bacterium
Lineage: Bacteria
Description: partial 16S ribosomal RNA
Rfam family: Bacterial small subunit ribosomal RNA
Source: RNAcentral